UGGCGAACGGGUGAGUAACGCGUGAGGAACCUGCCUCAAAGAGGGGGACAACAGUUGGAAACGACUGCUAAUACCGCAUAAGCCCACGGGUCGGCAUCGACCAGAGGGAAAAGGAGCAAUCCGCUUUGAGAUGGCCUCGCGUCCGAUUAGCUAGUUGGUGAGGUAACGGCCCACCAAGACGACGAUCGGUAGCCGGACUGAGAGGUUGAACGGCCACAUUGGGACUGAGACACGGCCCAG
Molecule: ribosomal RNA, 240 nt
Filed under: uncultured bacterium
Lineage: Bacteria
Description: partial 16S ribosomal RNA
Rfam family: Bacterial small subunit ribosomal RNA
Source: RNAcentral